Non-coding RNA from Taeniopygia guttata (zebra finch), 885 nucleotides. Lineage: Eukaryota; Metazoa; Chordata; Aves; Passeriformes; Estrildidae. The record is from RefSeq and is a predicted model, not a curated record.
ACACCAGCCUUAACUGCAGCGUCCAGGAGAGCAGCAGCACCUACCGCACGCUGGUCAUCCUGCGGCCACCGCCCGGCCACUCCUUCAGCCCAGGGAGCAGGAAAUGGCUGCCAGCCGAGCGCAUCCGUGUGGGGCUGGAGUGCCUGUGCUCCGGGGAGCAGCUGCUGGGGCACACGUGCUUUCUCCACGCCUCUGGUGGCCAGCUGCCCAGAGACCAGGAGUGGUAUCUGAUGGACACCCUCUGCACGGGCUCCUACUUAGACCCAGACAAAGUCACCCGCUGGGUGCAAAUGUUGGUGGCGUUGGCCUGGCUGCUCCUGCCGCAGUCGCGCCAUUUCCAGCUGACGGCGCUGCCCUGCGGCAAGUCCUGCAGGUUCCGGCUGAGCGGCGCCUCUGGCCUGCACUGCAGCAUCGAGAUGGUUCUGGCCGUGCAGCAAGGCAGCUCCUGUGCCUGCCUGAGCCUUGAGUAGGCAGCAGCCGGCUCUGCCAGCAGCACCGUGCGGGCCACAGAGCUGCCACCUCUCUGACUCACUGCCACGAUGGCUGUGCUACUGAGGUGACAGCACUGCAACCAAAAAGGAAUUGAGGAAGGUCAGGAAGAGGAAGGAGGAGCUGGGUUGGAAGAGUGCCAUGUGCAUGAGUGUGGGCAGAGCUGGCUUACCACAAGGUUGGUGUGGCAGUAGGAUAUAUAAGGGUGGCUGUCCUUUUUCUUUAUUCAGUCCCUUGUCACAGUUCAAUAAACCUUUUAAAAUUUUAAGAAGCGAGGUGUCGUUUCUCACAAUGCAUAAAGCUGAUGCAAUAUCAGGUGUAUAAAAGGUGGAGCUGCCAUUUUGUGCAUGAGCCUCUGGCAUUUUGUCACACACCCAGCGGUGUCCCUUUUGCUUU